Long non-coding RNA from Corapipo altera (White-ruffed manakin), 465 nucleotides. RefSeq lists it as uncharacterized. The transcript has 3 exons. The record is from RefSeq and is a predicted model, not a curated record. NCBI's taxonomy places the organism in Eukaryota, Metazoa, Chordata, Aves, Passeriformes, Pipridae.
AGCGGAGUGAGAACAUGGGAAUAACAACAUAGACACCAAGUUUCAGAGCGGAGGAAGAGAGCAGCUUUAGUGGGUACCUGACAUUCAGCCAGGGUCAACCCACUACAGCAACCAUGAGGGCAAGCAGACAUUAACACCAGACCCUCUUUGGCACCUGUCCAGAAAGUAGAAAAUGAAUCUGUGGGAAAUUCACCUUCCAAGUUGUUCUGGAGUCAUAACAUUUAGAAAUCUAGACUGCUGCAGUCCUGGAUAGGCAAGCACAAUGAAAUUUCAUUAGAAUGUCAUCAGAUUACAUUGUUUCCAAUUAACAUUUUAAGUCUGAAAAAUCGGAAAUUCCUUCUUUAAAAAAAAAAAACCCUACUAACUGUCAGCUCUUGCAAUUUUCUUGGGGCUUUAUAUACCAGCUACAGAACUUCAGUGAUGUUGGAAACCAGCCAUUUAUUCAAACAAUUUUGCAUAUCAGAA